CAUGGCUCAGAACGAACGCUGGUGGCGUGUCUAUACAUGCAAGUCGAGCGAGGCAGCAAUGCCGAGCGGCGAACGGGUGAGUAACGCGUAAGCAAUCUGCCCCGUAUCAGGAAAUACCCGUGCCAACGCGCGGUUAAUGUCCAGGAGAGUGGGAGCCUGCAUGGGCUCUUGACUAGAGAUUUAUCGGUACGGGAUGAGCUUGCGUCCGAUUAGCUAGUUGGCGGGCAACGGCCCACCAAGGCGACGAUCGGUAGCCGGCCUGAGAGGGUGGUCGGCCACAUUGGGACUGAGAUACGGCCCAGACUCCUACGGGAGGCAGCAGUAGGGAAUAUUGCACAAUGGGGGAAACCCUGAUGCAGCAACGCCACGUGUGGGAAGAAGCAUUUCGGUGUGUAAACCACUGUCAUGAGGGAAUAAGGCCUAUUUUCGGAUAGGAUUGAAUGUACCUUGAGAGGAAGCACCGGCAAACUUCGUGCCAGCCGCCGC
This 486-nucleotide ribosomal RNA is filed under the name uncultured bacterium. RNAcentral describes it as "bacterial SSU rRNA". It matches the Rfam family "Bacterial small subunit ribosomal RNA", at positions 18 to 518 of the family's 1533-position model. The record is from RNAcentral.